Molecule: ribosomal RNA, 253 nt
Filed under: uncultured bacterium
Lineage: Bacteria
Description: partial 16S ribosomal RNA
Rfam family: Bacterial small subunit ribosomal RNA
Source: RNAcentral
UACGGAGGGUGCAAGCGUUGUUCGGAAUGACUGGGCGUAAAGCGCACGUAGGCGGGUCUGUAGGUCAGCUGUGAAAUCCCAGGGCUUAACCCUGGAAUGGCGGUUGAAACCAUAGAUCUUGAAUACCCAAGAGAGUGGCGGAAUUCCGGGUGUAGUAGUGAAAUACGUAGAUAUCCGGAGGAACACCAGAGGCGAAGGCGGCUACUUGGUGGUGUAUUGACGCUGAGGUGCGAAAGCGUGGGGAGCAAACAGG